This 1396-nucleotide unclassified non-coding RNA is filed under the name uncultured Neocallimastigales. RNAcentral's name for it is "partial contains small subunit ribosomal RNA, internal transcribed spacer 1, 5.8S ribosomal RNA, internal transcribed spacer 2, and large subunit ribosomal RNA". The stretch from base 615 to 1396 matches the Rfam family "Eukaryotic large subunit ribosomal RNA", at positions 1 to 630 of the family's 3401-position model. The record is from RNAcentral. Lineage: Eukaryota; Fungi; Neocallimastigomycota; Neocallimastigomycetes; Neocallimastigales.
AAGUCGUAACAAGGUUUCCGUAGGUGAACCUGCGGAAGGAUCAUUAAAAAAUGUGGUACCAAUUGUUGGUACUAAUUAAUCAUCCUACCCUUUGUGAAUUUGUUUGUAUGAAUUUUUUUAAAUGGGUCUUUCCCUAAGUUGGAUUGUAGUAAAAUACAAAAAUACUUAGGGGAAUGACUUUUUUAAAAGACUUUUUUUUAAAUUAAAACUUUUUGUAUUCAUUUGUCUAAAAUUUACUUUUAUAAUAUAAAAACAACUUUUGACAAUGGAUCUCUUGGUUCUCGCAACGAUGAAGAACGCAGCAAAAUGCGAUAAGUAGUGUGAAUUGCAGAAUACGUGAAUCAUCGAAUCUUCGAACGCAUAUUGCACUUUUUUAGUUUACUAAAAAAGUAUGUCUGUUUGAGUAUCAGUAAAAUAUUCUCACAAACAUGUAUUGUUUGUGGUUAUGAGUGUUUUACAACGAUAAACAAGUUGUUUCACUUUAAAUUCUUUUUGUAAGUUUUACCAAUUUACAAAUUAAAAUGGAUAAAAUUUUCCUUUAACGAGGAAUAACCUAAACAAUUUUAAAUUUUAUGGUUAGUACAUCACAUGAAGGAAUCUAUACACAAAUAACUUGAUCUCAAAUCAGAUAAGAGUACCCGCUGAACUUAAGCAUAUCAAUAAGCGGAGGAAAAGAAACUAACAAGGAUUCCCUUAGUAACGGCGAGUGAAGCGGGAAGAGCUCAAAUUUGAAAUCUUCAAGGCUUGACCUUGACGAAUUGUAGUUUAUAGAAGUGUUUUCUGUUGGAGUUUUGGUAAAAGUUCUUUGGAAUAGGACAUCAUAGAGGGUGAGAAUCCCGUAUUUGACCAUGACUUUCCAGCUGUGUGAUACACUUUCAAAGAGUCGGAUUGUUUGGGAAUGCAGUCCAAAAUGGGUGGUAAAUUUCAUCUAAAGCUAAAUAUUGGCGAGAGACCGAUAGCGAACAAGUACCGUGAGGGAAAGAUGAAAAGAACUUUGAAAAGAGAGUUAAACAGUACGUGAGAUUGUCAAAAGGGAAGCGUUUGACACCAGUGUUGUUUUCUCGAAAAUCAAUUUAAUGAGUUCUUGUUUUUAAGUUAUUGUGACUUUAUCAGCGCAUUUCUUAUUUUACUUGACUCAUUGAAUGCACUUUUCGUUUAACAAGUCAACAUCAAUUUCUUUGGUGGUAAAAAGUUUAAAGGAAGGUGGCUUGGACUUCGGUUCAAGUGUUUAUAGCCUUUUUUCUAUGCCAUCGGAGAGAUUGAGGUCUGCAGCGUAGAUCCUUCGGGGUUAGAUACCUUUGUGCUAAGUUAUAGUUUUUUAUAGACAACUUGUUGACUAUAAUUAACCCUGUAAUUUACUCGCUUAGGCUAUUUUACCUACGCUUAGGAUGUUGAG